UACGAAGGGGUGCAAGCGUUAAUCGGAAUUACUGGGCGUAAAGCGCACGUAGGCGGCUUUGUAAGUUAGAGGUGAAAGCCCGGGGCUCAACUCCGGAAUUGCCUUUAAGACUGCAUCGCUAGAAUUGUGGAGAGGUAAGUGGAAUUCCGAGUGUAGAGGUGAAAUUCGUAGAUAUUCGGAAGAACACCAGUGGCGAAGGCGACUUACUGGACACAUAUUGACGCUGAGGUGCGAAAGCGUGGGGAGCAAACAGGG
Molecule: ribosomal RNA, 255 nt
Filed under: uncultured bacterium
Lineage: Bacteria
Description: partial 16S ribosomal RNA
Rfam family: Bacterial small subunit ribosomal RNA
Source: RNAcentral